RNAcentral lists this ribosomal RNA (440 nucleotides) under uncultured bacterium. RNAcentral's name for it is "partial 16S ribosomal RNA". It matches the Rfam family "Bacterial small subunit ribosomal RNA", at positions 338 to 795 of the family's 1533-position model. The record is from RNAcentral.
CCUACGUGAUGCAGCAGUGGGGAAUAUUGCACAAUGGGGGAAACCCUGAUGCAGCGACGCCGCGUGAGCGCUGAAGUAUUUCGGUAUGUAAAGCUCUAUCAGCAGGGAAGAAAAUGACGGUACCUGACUAAGAAGCCCCGGCUAACUACGUGCCAGCAUCCGCGGUAAUACGUAGGGGGCCAGCGUUAUCCGGAUUUACUGGGUGUAACGGGAGCGUAGACGGCUGUGCAAGCCCAAUGUGAAAGCCCGGGGCUCAACCCCGGGACUGCAUUUGAAACUGUGUGGCUGGAGUGUCGGAGAGGCAGGCGGAAUUCCUAGUGUAGCGGUGAAAUGCGUAGAUAUUAGGAGGAACACCAGUGGCGAAGGCGGCCUGCUGGACGAUGACUGACGUUGAGGCUCGAAAGCGUGGGGAGCAAACAGGAUUAGAUACCCGGGUAGUC